RNAcentral lists this unclassified non-coding RNA (404 nucleotides) under soil metagenome. RNAcentral describes it as "partial contains 5.8S ribosomal RNA, internal transcribed spacer 2, and large subunit ribosomal RNA". The stretch from base 1 to 122 matches the Rfam family "5.8S ribosomal RNA", at positions 35 to 154 of the family's 154-position model. The record is from RNAcentral.
GAUGAAGAACGUAGUAAAAUGCGAUACUUGGUGUGAAUUGCAGAAUCCCGUGAACCAUCGAGUUUUUGAACGCAAGUUGCGCCCGAAGCCUUUUGGCCGAGGGCACGUCUGCCUGGGCGUCACGCAUCGCGUCGCCCCCCACAACUCUCCGUAAAGGGGACUUGUGUUUUGGGGGCGGAUAUUGGUCUCCCGUGCUCAUGGCGUGGUUGGCCGAAAUAGGAGUCCCUCCGGUGGACGCACGAACUAGUGGUGGUCGUAAAAACCCUCGUCUUUUGUUUCGUGCCGUUAGUCGCGAGGGAAACUCUUUAAAAACCCAAAUGUGUCGUCUCUUGACGGCGCUUCGACCGCGACCCCAGGUCAGGCGGGACUACCCGCUGAGUUUAAGCAUAUCAAUAAGCGGAGGA